GAUGAACGCUGGCGGCGUUCCUAAUACAUGCAAGUCGAGCGAACAGACGAGGAGCUUGCUCCUCUGACGUUAGCGGCGGACGGGUGAGUAACACGUGGAUAACCUACCUAUACGACUGGGAUAACUUCGGGAAACCGUAGCUAAUACCGGAUAAUAUAUUGAACCGCAUGGUUCAAUAGUGAAAGACGGUUUUGCUGUCACUUAUAGAUGGAUCCGCGCCGCAUUAGCUAGUUGGUAAGGUAACGGCUUACCAAGGCAACGAUGCGUAGCCGACCUGAGAGGGUGAUCGGCCACACUGGAACUGAGACACGGUCCAGACUCCGACGGGAGGCAGCAGUAGGGAAUCUUCCGCGAUGGGCGAAAGCCUGACGGAGCAACGCCGCGUGAGUGAUGAAGGUCUUCGGAUAGUAAAACUCUGUUAGUAGGGAAGAACAAAUGUGUAAGUACCUAUGCACGUCUUGACGGUACCUAAUCAGAAAGCCACGGCUAACUACGUG
This 497-nucleotide ribosomal RNA is filed under the name uncultured bacterium. Its description in RNAcentral is "partial 16S ribosomal RNA". It matches the Rfam family "Bacterial small subunit ribosomal RNA", at positions 28 to 507 of the family's 1533-position model. The record is from RNAcentral.